UCUUCCUCUCCACUGGCACCUUGCUGAUGGCUGAGCCCUAGUCAUGCUCAGUUAAAAAGCAUGGACACGACUGACUUCACUAUGCAAGUACUGUUCUUACUUGUAUCGUCAGUGCUCACGUCCUUUAACCUUUCUCCCUAUCUCCUGGACAUAUUUCAUGUGAUGCAAAAAGCAGUUGAGCAUUAAUCCUGCAGCCACUGAUCCGUGCUACUCAGCCCUCGCGACGCAGCCCAGCCCUCCUCCUCCCGCUUCGGCCCCUUUGCUUUCCCCUGCUGUCUCGCCCUCCUACGCCAAACGCAUUUUUCCGCCGGGACACCAAGCCGCCCGGACGGGAUCAUCGCUGCCGAGGCAAAGCACGAGAACCCGGCGCGGAGCUGGGCGCCCCGGCGGCAUCCGUGCGACGCACCGCAGACCCAGGCCACUGCGUCGUCCACCCGGUCGGUGACGUCCACAGCAGAAGGUGAGAAGGAGAGUCCCUUACGCCAGAAAACAUGCCCUGUGCUCUUGCCAGCACGUAAGGAAAAAGCACAACUUCUUUUUUUUGAAAUGCUGUGCACUCACACGGAAGCUGCAAACGAACGUGCCCUGAGGAGGGCUUUCCACCUUGCGUCCUUUGCCAUAGAUCAUAAAACGUGUCGCUAUAUAUUUUCUUUACCAACCAGGAAACCUUGGCUGUCAUUCGGGAAUGCUACUGGGAUAUAAUGGUACCACCCGGCCUCAGGCCAGCCCGCGUGUGACUGUACUUAUCAGCACCAACACGGCCCUGGAAGGGCUUAACCGAGGUCGGACCGCAGCGUACCGGGUGCAGGGGACACAGCUCCUAAGAGAGGAUCCCAGCUCUAAAAUGCUUAAUCAGGCAGCAGGAAGGAGACAGGAGUCUUUUACGACCCUGGUUUAUAGGUGUGGAAGGUGUUUGCCAAAGGAUGACAUAAAUUGCGCAAACCUUGGGCAGAGCCAAGAAUGGAGCCCCAAGAAUAACAGCAAUUUACUGCCGUAACCUGCGGUCCGUCCCCGUGCUCGUCCUGUGAGCCCGCGGCGCACGCCGGCCGCUCGGCCAGCCCCGCUCCUCCUCGGGACGUUGGCUGCACGACUGCGCUUCCAGGGCUGCUCUAAUUAAAACGGGGAAUUACACAGUAGUUAAACCAGAGCUUUUUUGCUGAUCAUGUUGAAGAUAGUGACCUGUUUAUGCUCGCCGCAUCUCUUAUUAAAAAUAAUGGAGCGGAUUUCACCUUCGUAGCUUAUUUCCAGGGAGUCGGCCUCCGUGCCCCCCCAAGCGAUAAUAGCUGCCGUGCCACUGUAAUUCCCGCGCAGUAAAGCAUGUCCAGACCUGUUACCUCCUGUUUGUUCUCAGCAUGGAUCAUCGCUUCUUCCACCACCGCACGAGCCAGACAAAAAAAGAAAAGUGGUCUCCCAGCAGAGGUGUUUAAUAAGUUUAGCACAGCUCUGCGAGGAGAUGCAGGGACAAGCAAGGCAGGGGAAGCUCCGAGAGGCAACAGGGCUUCACAGUGCUGGCUCCGGCACCGGGAAACGGCCACGCUAAUUGGCCCAAGGGAAGCAAACAUCGGCUGCUGGCGGUGCCACGCGGCAACCCGAGGUGAGGGCAGAGCGAGAGCUUCUCUUUGUUCGCUGCUCCUGUUUGCUACCUUGCAGAAAGAAGGGCUGCCGCAUCUUUUUUGUACCUCAGAGGUAUUGCCAGCCUUAAGCCAGCAAGAAAUAAUGCAAGGAUUAUUUUGAGCAAUUUAGGGUGUUUUUUUUUUUUUUUUUAAAGCUUUCCAGCAGCAAUCUACUUUUAUUCUGCACGUGGACACAUUCAAUACCAAAACCACAGAGUGCACCUAAGCAAAGCAAAGGCAAGCAUUCAUGCAAAGCCAAAGUAUGACUUUGUGUCCAGUCCUCCAAUUAACUUUACUGGCAAUUUGUAAUGUGGAAUUCAUAAAAAUCCUGAGGCAGUUUUUUAUUUUGCAGGCAAGUGUCUUUUAUCUUGCGGGAAAUUUCCUUUUUCUUUCUGUGCAGCAAAAGCAAACACAUCAAUAAAUAAGCAAUGAAUCUCCAAAAACUUUCUUUGACUCAAAGGCAACCUGAAAUUAUACAGCCUAAUUCACUUGGAGGGCUCCCGCCCCGGCCGCGCGUGCGCCAUUCCCGGAGGCAAGCACUCUGUUUCUGAAGGACAGUCCAUUAACCAUCACGAACGCCCCUCUCCCCCUCGGCUUAGCGGCUCCGAUCGCGCCCGCCACUGACGCGCUCUCGCCAUCCCCUCCCUGCGUCGAGCUCCUGGAUUCAGCUCUGGCUGCUGGCACAAACAGCCACCUCCUUUGCCGGCAUCACUUCCCUUUGCAGACGUCUCUGCUCUGCGUGCAGAGCAUCCACAGAAAACGACCCAGGAUCUCCGCUGCCCUCCCUGCCCGCCCUCCGCCCCGGUCCCUGCGGCCGGACGCGCGUGUCGUGAUGGGGGGUCGCAGGCGGCAACAACUGCUUCCAGCUCAGCAGGGACCAGGUCCCGCUGCCACCGCUUUCCACCCUCCAAGCGCUUCGGUGCUCGACUGAAGCACAUCGGCAGUUUCAGCGAGUCCCCCGAGUUCUUGAGGGGUUUUUGUUACUGAGAAAAGAGUCAGAUGACAUUUCCUUCCAAGAAAAGCAAGUAUCAUAAAAAGACGCUUUAGCUGUCUGUUGCCUAAAGCAGCCGGGAACUGGGUAUGUCAGGUCACGACGUGCACCGGAGGGGCACCGAUUUUGGCUGCCUGCCUGGUCUGAGCCAUUUGGAGAAGGCUUGAUUAGCCCCAGCAGAUGGGUCUUGGGAUAGCGUCACUCACAGCUCUUGGGGACCGUCGCUCGGAACAACAGAGGGGCUAACAGAGGGCCCAAGCCCGGGUCCAAGUCCUGCUACAUGGUGUGGACGCGCUGGAGAUGUUCCCGCCUGCGGGACAGCAAGGUCCCAGCCACCCACGUAGCACUGGUUCAAUACCCAGCCGGAGGGAGAAGCUAAGGCCUGCAUCUCAAUAGAAACUGCCGAGACCGCUCCAGCCCUGUUUUCCUGAAACCUGCAAGAGAAAGGACUCCUGAGAGAGAAAGAAAAAUUUCAAAACUCGGCUCCAGUCCAAGAGCUGUCCCAAGAGGGAAAGAAAAAUUGCAAAGGUCGGCUCCAGUCUGCAAGCUGUAACAGCCAGCUCCUGACGCGCAGCGUAGCUGAGCACCGCGCUUCCCCGUCACGCUGCGACGUUGCCCUCAGGGACAGAGGAUACUCGCUACUGGAGCCACCUGGAACAUUUCUGACAAAAACAAGCUGCUCUAUCUUGGCUGAUGGUCCACAGGAGGGUGUCUCAGGGGAGACAGAGGAUGGGCUGAGUGUUUGGCACUAAGGGAGGAGGUGGAGGUGCGAGUCUGCCAGCUCUACUCGGGGUGCUGUGUACAAAAUAAUGUGGGUUAUGUGAAAAAGCACAGGGAAAAUAACCACAUUAAAGACUGCUGUGCAGAUAACACUCCCCUUCUGCCGUGAGGGAGAGGCCAGAGCAGAAUGUGUGUGAAAGAGACACUGGUUGUAAGGGGAAGCAGGGGUGAGACAUACCGUCCGGCUUCCCACGUAAGGCAGGGGCCCCCGAGGUUCUCUGCAGCGAUUUGAGGUAAGGACGUUACUUCUCUUCAACCACACUCAAAACCGCUCAUCCAGGGAGCCCACAAUGUUCUGCAGCCUACGUUGGAGCUGUUCCAGUUGAUGGCACCAGCUGUCCUAGUCCCAGGCCUCACCCCAUGCAGCCAUCAGCUGUCUGGGGACAAGAGGAUCAAGAGCUCAGGUGCAGAAAGGAUCAGGCUUGGUGGCUAAGAGAGGGCUCCGCGGAGGAGGGUGGAAAGACAGUGUAGGACUGGCAAACUCAUCAGCACCUGCACCCGGCAGCAACAGUGGCUCGGACUCCACUGGCAAGUCCAUCAUCGUCGUCCUCACCACACAACCACAUACAUGGCCCCCAUGGGAAGUCCUGGUUUACCUGAGAUUUCGGAAAUGGGCUCCUGUCCUGGAAAGCUGUUCUCAAUUCAUUAGUGUAUGUGAAUUCCCCAGCAGCUAUGGAAAUAUUUGCACAGCAUAGUCAAAGGAGUGGGUGGAUUUCUCCAUUAAGUCACCCAUUUGCAAUUUUUAAUGGAAAAUUAUGUGCAUUGCUUCAAUUCUGCUGGGAUACAUGGAGAAGAAAUGCAAGGGUCAACAAAUCAGUUAUUAAUAUUACACACAUGUACAGAUGAAAGCAACAGCAGUUUGUCACUCAUCUGAAAGCUGACAGGAAUACAGCAGUAUAACAGGGUCUUUUGCAAAUUCAGACUGCAAUGCUGUUCCUGACACUGGCAUUUAGUGACAGCUUUUUGUCAAGGAGGGGAGGAGAAAACAAAGCUUUGCUUUGGACCUGAUAAAUGGAUCUCCCCAGAGUACUCUAGGAAGAGCUGCAAGAAAAAAAAUACACGGGUUCUCUAGUUGCAUAAAUUAUGUGUGAGGCGCUUUAGUAGGAAUGGGGCUUUAUCACAACAUAAUUUUCAGAAGAGUAAGAAAAGGGAGGCAGUAAGGUUUUGAAGGCUGUGACAACGAUAUAAUAUGUUGUAGAGAUGGUGAUGAACACCUGUAAGUAUUUCCCUGUGCAUAUCUACCCACACUUUCCAGGGAUGGAGGCAGAAGAGGGGAGCUCUUCCAUUAACCCUUUGAGCCAAGCACCCCCGACUUGCGGUACAGCCUUUCAGGGCAAGCAAAACGCAGUUUCCAGGUCUCUCCCACUUGCAUUCAACCCGUCCUGCCCAUCGUGAGACUGUUUCGCAGGCAGACCGAGGCUCGGCACAGCUGCGUCCAGCAGAGCAUCACGUCCGUGUACCACCCUCCCAGGUCUUCGGGGCAGUACUUCCAAAAACGGCCUUUCUGGAUGCUCAUGGUCUUCUCCCGACUUACCAGCCUGCAGUCCUCUUGCAAACAGACCGUUAUAGCUUGCACUGACUUGCCCGAUACUCUCGCAGUUGGACGAUGAGCGGAGACUCCGUACUGAUGUUAGUAAUAGUGACGAAACAGAGUGACAGAUUUCAGUUAGCUCCAUCGGUGCUAACCAGUUUUUGUACUGGAGAGGCCAUCACACAGUCCAUUUACUGCAGUUUCCACCCUGCCCCUCUGGAGAAAGCACUGGAAAAGCUUCUGUUUUAUAUAGUAAUAACCAAUAAGGAGCUCACAGUAGAGAGAAAACUGUACAUUAAAAACCCAGCACAAUGAUUAUCAAAUUCACUGCUGGUUUAACAGAAUACAGAUUGAAUAGAGUGAAUGAACUGUGCCAGCUGCAAAACUUCAGACAGCUGGAGUAUGAAAAAAGCAGCCCUGGCUGCUAGGAAUAAUCUUCACCUCUUCUGAAGGAGAUAUUUCUACAGCGAAUGUAUUUUUAAGUGAUUUGAAAAAAAAAAGAUCUUGUGCAAAGAUGAUGUUGCUUUUUCUCAAUGUUUCUCUGAAAUAAUUACAAACACAACAGCUCUUCAGAAGAUCAAUAGCUAGCAUCACAAAAAUAUCCCAGCACAGACUGAUUGUUGCUCAAGAAAAAAAUAUUAUUACUAAGAUUCAGCUUUACUUCUUUGUAUUAAAUAGAGAAUAUUUACAGCUCAAGGUCUUGUUUCAAGCUUUGAGAUGUGAUUUUUUUAGUUACGCAUUAAUCUUAUACGUUCACAUCAUCUACCAUCAUUCGUUAAGUACUUAGGUUCAUUCAGAAGAUCUUGGAGAUAGCUAGGAAAGUUAACUAUCAGAGAAGUCUUCAAUCUCCUUGCUGCUGGGAAGAAGAAAAAUCCCACACCGCAGAAGAAACCAAGUACAAAUUACUGCCUAAUUUAUAUGAAGAUAUUUAAGAUGCAAAACAAGGAAAUCUGGUAUGUCAUAUUAUGUACAUUUACUAUUAAGAUUUUAAGAGUCAAGAAUUUAAUAUAUUUAAAAGUAACUCCAAAUCCAAUUUUAGUGCAGAGAUGCAACUGAAAACAGAGCGUAUUCUAGGCUCUAGCAUAGGGGGGAAAUCCCCACCAAAAAUGUGGUCUUGGAAAGUUAGAGGAGUCCUAUAAGGUCUCUCUGGUACUAGGAAAACUCGUUCCAUUUCUCUACACGAGUGGAAGUGCAUUUCUCAUCAAACGUCUGCGUACGCCAGCACACCACGCUCACAGGACAGGGACGCAGAUAUCCAGACACAGGAUUGCGAUUCGCAUUACAGUAUUGCCGCCUAAAGAUCUUAGUCCCAUUGUACAGCACAAGUUCACAAGGCUCAAAGUCAAGAGCAGCAGCCUUCAACCAUGCAAGACAACGACAUCAUUCUCCUCCUCAGUUUAAGCUUUCGCUUCUUGUCACCUCUAAGUUGCGCCCAAAACUCUCAAGAGCACUAUGUAGCCCUUAAGCCAAGGGUUAUGGACCCCUCAGCAAAGCAAAGUACCACCACUACCUCCAUCUUUCUCAUGAGGACCUGCGCCCAGAAAGACCGAAGUGACCUACGUGACAUCACGUAGGGAUCCUGUCCGAGAGUCGGGGAUAGCCCACACUCCCACCAAAGCCCAGCCUGGCUCUUUAACCACACUAAUCUGCCUUGCUUUUUGAAACGGUUGAAGUUUUCAGUUCCAGUUCUUCACGUCCUGCUCGGCAUGUUAAUAGGCCGUUGCGGUGGAUAAUGCUUCAGCCUCCCAUUGCAGAAAUGCGCAAUCUAGGAGAACGGUAACAGGUAACAGACAGAAUUCAUGAAUCGUUAUUAAUUAUAAAAGCCUUUGGAUAAUAUUUUUCCCAAUGAAAUAACAGGUAGAAAGGUCAGUGCAAUUAGCAGAAGCGCCCAAGGCCUGACGUUGUGCACUUGGCCAGACUUUAAUUAGUCAAAUGGCAACAUGUUUGUACAAAUCUUGACAAUUAAAGCCAGCAGCUAAUAUCACUCACAAUGCUUGGCUAAACUGUGCAUAGAUAAAAAUUGCAAUGAAUAUAAAUCAAAACUGAAGCUAUAAUGCAGCCUCUUAAACUCAUUUUCUUUUCUCUUUUUCCUUUUCUUUGUCAUUUCAAAAAAACCAGUAUUUGGCAACAGUGCAGAGUUGUAUGCUGUCGGGGUUCAGGUUAUAUUUUGGUUAUGGGAGGAUCUUUUUUUUUAAAAAAAAAAAAACCCUCAAAUAUUGAAGUAUUUCUACAUUUUGUAGCAGCCAACACAGAACCAACAAAACACCUCUGAAUGUCCCUUCUUCCUGCCUCUGUCUUUUGCCCAUCCUCGUAGCAGCCUAAGGCCUCACAACGCAAACUUUCCAGGCAGGAGCCGCGCUCCUGCCACGACGCACCGACUUCAGUCGUGCUCAGAGGUCCUCCUUCAUCAGCGUGACUGCAGGACCUGAGCCGGAGGGUACACAGAUUUGAAAACCUAUCGCCACAGUCAGCCACGCUACUCUGCAGCACGGCCAGGAAUCAGGGGGACGCGGUCACAGCAACCUCAGCUCCUCGCACAGGAGUUACUCUCUCGCGAGCCCACAGACACCAGCACUAAUGCUGAGCGCCAUUAACCGGCUGCCUAAUAAUAAAACCCCUACUUUUUUUUAUUUUUAUUUUUUUUAAAUGAUCAGGGCCAAUGGAAAUAACAGAGAUUCUGAAUUUUAGAGGUCCUCUUUCUCACUGUAUUUUAAGUAUUUUACUUUUGACAAAACUCUACUUAUAAGUAAUAUCAUUUAAAGUAUUAAAGGGCAAAUUCCUGUUAUUUGCGUGGUAGCAGAAAGCUUUUCCCCUCUCCCUGGUCAGAGUGAACAUUUUGGCAAAAUAACUUGCAGCAUUACUACAAGGAAAUGAAGUGAUUAUUUUUCAUGAUAGCACCAGCCCAUCUCCCUGGCUUACGCUUGAUGCAGGUUUCCAUUAGUUUCAGCCGUAUAAAUAACAAGAACAUUUUUCAGCAAGGAAUUAGUCCGUUAUGCUUUCUGGCGAUAGGCAGAAUGGAAAGGGCACGUAGGCACUACGUUAACAAAUUAGCCAUUUCAUUCCUUUUCUCUCUUUCGAGUUUUCGUGGGUACUUCUAGACAGCACAACGGCUCAUCCUCCAGGCAGUCCAAUUAAAAAAAAAAAAAAGUCAGAUUUGGUGAUUCAAUGUUUCAAUACAAAUACUGUCUACAGCAUUUUUUCUUAUUUUUUCAUGACAUCAACAGUUGGCAGAAUAAAAAAACAUUUAAUUUCAUUUGUUGUUCAUAGGGCUGACUUCUCCUCCACUUACAGUCUGCUGGGUUUUCUGAAAGGAACAUUUUUACAUCACAGUGACAGUGUUUCAUUUUCUUCAUAAAAACACGUUUUCAGAUAUCUGCGGUUAUAGUCAUGCAUUUGAAGCAGGCUCUCAUGUAUUGCAAGGUUUAACACUUACCUCUCCCUCCCCACUUAAAAAAAAAUGAAGUCCCCUGGAUCUUUGGGUUAUCAGCACCGGUUUCUCAAAACGCUCCUGCAGGUUAUUUGUUCCAUCAGUCCCCUGGAGCUCGGCAGCACUGUGAAGCAGGAGAUUUUCCCGGCCAACGUAGCCAGCAGCAGGCACGAACCUGUAUGUUGCAUCUUGCCGGCAGGACGACAACGCAUCCCAUCUCCCCGGACCGAUGGCAGGGCAGCGAGCGGCCCAGUCACCCACUGCACUUCCUCAUGGUGCUGGUUUGGCUGCUAAACAAAGAGCACUUCCCCCAGCAAAUAGCCACUCGCUUAGAUAACGCAGCACAAUCCGGCACAAGGGCUGAUCAUCUGGAACAUGUUUCAUAGAGUUCAGCUACGCACUGAACUCUAAAAUACCCCUAAGAAGGUGCAGAAAAGCAAGCAUGAUUGACGGGUCAUUUUUAUUUACUGACAGAUCAUUUACAGUCUAGGCAUGUGUAGUAUGAAAAAUGGGAGGAUUUGGAAGGCUUUUUACAAGCAGCCCAUUCUGCAAGACCUUGCAUUUUAGGGGAAGCUCUGCAAACCUCUUCCCCUCCCCACUGCUAAUUUCUGGCUAGGCAAUGAGAAAUGGUAUUAAAAGCUUUUUAUAACAGAGAACAAGAUUUCAGUUGAACUCAAACUAUGUGAUACAGAUAGAAAAAGCAACUAUAUUAGAACAUGUAAUGGAAAGCUGUUUCUUAAGGUAACAGUUCAUUUGGAAGACGACUGUUGAAAAGCUGCUUUUGUACUGCUGACAAUGCCUGAAUGAAAUCAGUGACUCUUCAGCGACUUCAAAGAAAGUGCAGCUAGAUCCUACUCUGCUGGAGCUUUUACUGAGGUGUAAAACUCAUUACUAACAAAGGGCUAAAAGCUGCAAAACUUUGGUCUUGAAAGUUCCAUUGUUUAGAUGAGGAGAGACCUAGAAAAAUUGGGUUUUGAAUGGACUGUGAAGCCCAGAGUUAGAACAGAGGUUUGAGGUACUUGUGCUUACAAACACAAAAAUUCAGCAUGAGGUACUACUUUAGGAUCUCUCAUCUGCUAGGCCAAGUAACUGGAUCACAGCUGCUUUCUUCUGUCCGAAGAGAAUGCCAUUACUAUCAGCAUGAGAUAAAUACUUUCUGAGCCUGGGAUGAAGUUGGACCAGUCGCAAAUGAGUGACCUGCCAAAUAGACAGCAGGUACAAAGAGAAAAAAGUGCUUAUAAGCAUAUGGGGACUAGCCACUUUCAUCCAGAUGUGCAGAAAGCGGAGACCUUCCCACAAAUGGAGCAAUACAUGAGACAGACUGCAUGGAGAUACUUGGGCAUCAACCUUUUCAGGUUGAAAAGUAUUUCUCCAAGAGGAUCAAAACAGUUGAAGGCUGUGCAAAUCUGUCAUUAUCUUCAGACUUUACCAGGUCUGCUUCAGACCUCCAGCAUGGUGGAAUGGGCAAGGGACAAUUUGGAAACAUGAGAAAUAGCAGCCAACUGCAUUACCUUCAAUCACAGCUACUGUAGUCUUAGAUAACAGAGGUAUAAAUCCCCAGGUGGGCACCCUCUGCAACACUGAUCAGCUGGUUUUACAUGUGCAGUGUACAUAAAUAAAGCCCUAGUUUGACAUUUCAAUCUGA
Molecule: long non-coding RNA, 9987 nt
Organism: Dromaius novaehollandiae (emu)
Lineage: Eukaryota; Metazoa; Chordata; Aves; Casuariiformes; Dromaiidae
Exons: 2
Source: RefSeq, a predicted model, not a curated record